RNAcentral lists this ribosomal RNA (253 nucleotides) under uncultured bacterium. Its description in RNAcentral is "partial 16S ribosomal RNA". It matches the Rfam family "Bacterial small subunit ribosomal RNA", at positions 524 to 776 of the family's 1533-position model. The record is from RNAcentral.
UACAGAGGGGGUGAGCGUUGGUCGGAAUUACUGGGCGUAAAGGGCGCGUAGGCGGCCGGCUAAGUCAGACGUGAAAUCCCCGGGCUCAACCCGGGAACUGCGUCUGAUACUGGUUGGCUGGAGUCCGGGAGAGGGAAGCGGAAUUCCAGGUGUAGCGGUGAAAUGCGUAGAUAUCUGGAGGAACACCGGUGGCGAAGGCGGCUUCCUGGACCGGUACUGACGCUGAGGCGCGAAAGCCAGGGGAGCAAACGGG